This 250-nucleotide ribosomal RNA is filed under the name uncultured bacterium. RNAcentral's name for it is "partial 16S ribosomal RNA". It matches the Rfam family "Bacterial small subunit ribosomal RNA", at positions 524 to 773 of the family's 1533-position model. The record is from RNAcentral.
UACGGAGGGUGCAAGCGUUAUCCGGAUUCACUGGGUUUAAAGGGUGUGUAGGCGGGUCAUUAAGUCAGUGGUGAAAUCUCCAGGCUCAACCUGGAAACUGCCAUUGAUACUAUUGAUCUUGAAUUUUGUUGAGGUAGGCGGAAUAUAUCAUGUAGCGGUGAAAUGCUUAGAUAUGAUAUAGAACACCGAUUGCGAAGGCAGCUUACUAAGCAAAUAUUGACGCUGAGGCACGAAAGCGUGGGGAUCAAAC